AUUUAGGAAUUUUAUUAUUAUUAGUUGAGUUGAGUUGAGUCGAGACUUAUUAGUAUGUCCUAGUUUAUUUAAUUUAGUAUUCCUAAUUAGAAUUAAAAUUGGGUUUCUGUAUCCUAAUGUGAUUCUGAUUUAAACUUUAUAAAUAUUCCUAGGUUUUUUUCUAUUACUAUUAGCUUUUGAAUAUUAUGAUUAUUAUUGAGAAUAAA
RNAcentral lists this unclassified non-coding RNA (206 nucleotides) under Hevea brasiliensis (rubber tree). The record is from RNAcentral. Lineage: Eukaryota; Viridiplantae; Streptophyta; Magnoliopsida; Malpighiales; Euphorbiaceae.